ACCUAUGAAUGCGGGGGUACGGUACCGCUGUACUACGGUCCCUUGAUUGAAAAUCGAAGCAAGAUCGGAGUCCGUCAGAAAGAUUGAAUACCACAUUUCCACGAUGAAACGAAAAUGUUCACGUUCGAAAGUUCGAGCUAUCAUCAAAAGGACUUCCCCUAACGCAAGACUAGGCAAAAACACGGAUAUAUUGAUCUUUCUAAACUACAUGUUGUUCUUGCGGAGCUUGGCUAUCAGGGCUAAUACUGAAGCACAAGAGAACAGAGAGAAUGCUCUUUCUCCUCUCCACAUCCGAAGCAUUGCCAAGGAGGUUCUGAAAGUAUUCAGAGGCUGAGCAAGUCAGGAAUUCAGGAUAAACUUGUGAUUUCACAGCUGACAAGAGCAGCACUCCUUGCAGAUCUAAAACUGUAUCAUCCUAUCCAGAAUAAAGUAAUAUGAGAUGUGGGGUGGUGAUGUCAUUGGUAACUGUGGAACAAUGAUAUCAUAGUUUCUAGUGGCUAAUGCAGAGAAAAGUACUUGCCAAUCUGUUCAUACCCGGUGGGAUUUUGGUUACUUUGAAAGUGACUGCACAUGGAGCUGUGGAUGGAGCUCAGAGUAAGCUACCUAACUGUCAUCAGCAAGGCUGGCUCAUCUGGUGGUGAUAACCUACUUAUAUAAAUAUCACUGUUGAGAAUUUUUUUUGGCUAAAUUGUAGUCUCAUGUUGUUCUCCUCGUUUCAAAAGAUAUACAGUAAACAACUAAAUCAUUCAUGCCCUAAUUACAUACCUGCCAACUACUACGAUUUUGGCGUAAUUAUUACAAUUUUUUGAUAUAAAUUACGCCUUACGAUUUUUUGUCAUAAAAUUACGAUUUUUUAAUUUUUAAAAAUUUUUAUUUUUAUUUAUUUAUUCUUUUUUAUUUUUUUUUUUUUUUUUUUUGCCCGUUCCCCUGGCACUGUCCAGGCCGACGCUUAAGCGUGCCCGGGAGAGCACCGGCAUGGUACCAAGAGUAAAAAAAAGUUUCACAGCUCAAUCACUGUCAAUUCACCACUCAGAAAGUGGGACCAAAUGUCCAGAUUUCUGUUUAGACUCUGAGGAAAAUUAGUCUGUCAUCUUUGGUUUUAAAAACAGCAUUGCUUACUAUUAUUAUUAUUAUUAUUAUUAAAUCAGCGCCUUCAACUGCAACUCAAAGUAAAAUCGCUUGAGUUUUCGGUGACGGACCUGGGAUACUUCUACCGUAGUAUGGUGGUGUCAACAACAAAAAAAAAUUGAGUAUUCGAGUACCUCAUACCACGCUUAAAUGCACAGCCCUUUAUUUUUCUCCUUUAGGUUCUAUUUCAUCAGGGGAAUUUUGAGCUUUUAGUCCUUGUUUUUUAAAUAUUUUUUAUGGGGGAGGGGGUUGCAUAAGUGUUGAAAAAUGAGUUUAAAGUGAAGGGAAAAUGCAUUCCUACAUGUUGAAAAUACCAAAAGCUCCCUACCGUGGGAGGGGGACAGCCCUCUCCCACACACAACUCCCCCUCCGCUCGGUCGCUUCGCUCCGCUCCGUCACAGUCCUUGUAAAAAAUGAUUACUAUUUUUAGUCUUCAAAGGUUGGCAGGUAUGUAAUUACCAGGUUUUGUCAUUUUUUAAGCAUGAUCUAUGUUUCUUGAGAAUGGUGACAUAUUAAAGCUUCAUUCUUGAGUUACGAAAAACACAAAAACAAAACAAAUUUACAAGGGGUAUGAAUAAUUUAGUAGCUAAAUGUAUGUACAAAAUCAUUUUGUAUUUUAUUUAGGAUUUCUGUUUAGUUUGUGUACAUAUAUGACAGGAAGGUAAGCUAAUGUCUGCACAUACUUAAAUGCCUAUGCUACGACCCUUCCACCCCGAUGGCUCACGCUGCACAACAAUCUCAGCACUUUGCCUGGAGAUAACGUGCGUGUAGACUAAAGCGUAUACACACAUCGGUUUUACACAUGUAGUGCAGGUUGCUUACUUGCCUUUGUUUAAAUUUGUGUUCCAGGCCUUCAAAGUUAGUUUUUACCUCAUUAUUUAAUGUUUCACUUGAAGAGGAAAACACCUAGUAUUGCUAGUAUCUUUCUAUUUAUCAUCCAAAAUCAAAGGAAUCAAACAAAAAGUUCUUGAGUGCCUACCAAAACUGUACAUGAUGUGUAACUCGAUACACAAUGGAAUUAAUGUAUGAACAA
Molecule: long non-coding RNA, 2161 nt
Organism: Strongylocentrotus purpuratus (purple sea urchin)
Lineage: Eukaryota; Metazoa; Echinodermata; Echinoidea; Camarodonta; Strongylocentrotidae
Exons: 3
Source: RefSeq, a predicted model, not a curated record